CGGGAUGUAGCUCAGCCCGGUUAGAGUGCUGGUCUGGGGGACCAGAGGCCGGAGGUUCGAAUCCUCUCAUCCCGACUA
Molecule: transfer RNA, 78 nt
Filed under: Lewinellaceae bacterium SD302
Lineage: Bacteria; Pseudomonadati; Bacteroidota; Saprospiria; Saprospirales; Lewinellaceae
Description: tRNA-Pro
Rfam family: tRNA
About the family: Transfer RNA (tRNA) molecules are approximately 80 nucleotides in length. Their secondary structure includes four short double-helical elements and three loops (D, anti-codon, and T loops). Further hydrogen bonds mediate the characteristic L-shaped molecular structure. tRNAs have two regions of fundamental functional importance: the anti-codon, which is responsible for specific mRNA codon recognition, and the 3' end, to which the tRNAs corresponding amino acid is attached (by aminoacyl-tRNA synthetases). tRNAs cope with the degeneracy of the genetic code in two manners: having more than one tRNA (with a specific anti-codon) for a particular amino acid; and 'wobble' base-pairing, i.e. permitting non-standard base-pairing at the 3rd anti-codon position.
Source: RNAcentral